CACAUGGGUUCCCAUACAAUCACUGAAGUUAAGCAAUGUUGAGCCUGGUCAGUACCAAGAUAGUGACUGCUUGGGAAUAUCAAGUGCUGUAA
Acanthosepion pharaonis is the source of this 92-nucleotide non-coding RNA. The record is from the annotation of a GenBank genome assembly. NCBI's taxonomy places the organism in Eukaryota, Metazoa, Mollusca, Cephalopoda, Sepiida, Sepiidae.